Molecule: transfer RNA, 65 nt
Filed under: Vespa orientalis (oriental hornet)
Lineage: Eukaryota; Metazoa; Arthropoda; Insecta; Hymenoptera; Vespidae
Description: tRNA-His
Source: RNAcentral
AUUUAAAUAGUUUAAAAUAAAAUAUUAGAGUGUGGAUCUAAAGAUAUAUAAGUAUAUUUUAAAUU